This is a non-coding RNA of Oryza barthii, 200 nucleotides long. Lineage: Eukaryota; Viridiplantae; Streptophyta; Magnoliopsida; Poales; Poaceae. The record is from Rfam.
UUUUGGUGUGAACUAAACACACCCUCAAUUUUGAUCGUCCGUCUUAUUUAAAUUUUUUUUAUAAUUAGUAUUUUUAUUGUUAUGAGAUGAUAAAACAUGAUAAUAUUUUAGGUUGACUUAUGUUUUUAAUUUUUUUUAAAAAAAUUAUAAAUAAGACGAACGAUGAAAAUUGAGCACGCAAAAAUACCACUGCACUUAAA